GAUGAAAACCAAAUAGGAGAUACAUGGAUGCACUAUACGUGAAGCAUUGACCUCGAGGAUGUCCUUUCAUUGGAGCUUUGCAUUUAGUACAUUUGCGAGUACUUUUAUUCCCAGAGCUAUUUAAUAUUUGAUCUGCAUCAUCUGUUAGGUCUUGUAACUGAUGUCUUUGCUGUUCCACUAAGGAAAAAAUGCAGAUCAUUACAUCCUAAAAUAAUUGUAAACAAUACCAUUAUCCCAUACUUACAGCAUGGAUAAAGUGCAUGACUGACAUGCUUGUUCCUCGCAACAUAUUUUUUUACUGCCUCAGCCUUGGAUCGUUUGUUGGGAAACUGGCUGCACAAAGGUUCGGGUGCUUUUCCUCUAUAUCUUUCCAUUAUAGUUGAAAGUUCUUGUUUAUUAGACAUGAAAAGAACAUUCUUUACUUGUUCAACAUAUUCUAGAAAUUGAUAUGAAAAAUAAUUUGUUACUGAUGCUUCAA
Long non-coding RNA from Xenia sp. Carnegie-2017, 478 nucleotides. RefSeq lists it as uncharacterized. The transcript is spliced from 2 exons. The record is from RefSeq and is a predicted model, not a curated record. NCBI's taxonomy places the organism in Eukaryota, Metazoa, Cnidaria, Anthozoa, Malacalcyonacea, Xeniidae.